This 468-nucleotide ribosomal RNA is filed under the name uncultured bacterium. RNAcentral describes it as "partial 16S ribosomal RNA". It matches the Rfam family "Bacterial small subunit ribosomal RNA", at positions 28 to 507 of the family's 1533-position model. The record is from RNAcentral.
GACGAACGCUGGCGGCGUGCUUAACACAUGCAAGUCGAACGGAAAGGCCCUGCUUUUGUGGGGUGCUCGAGUGGCGAACGGGUGGGUAACACGUGAGUAACCUGCCCUUGACUUUGGGAUAACUUCAGGAAACUGGGGCUAAUACCGGAUAGGAGCUCCUGCUGCAUGGUGGGGGUUGGAAAGUUUCGGCGGUUGGGGAUGGACUCGCGGCUUAUCAGCUUGUUGGUGGGGUAGUGGCUUACCAAGGCUUUGACGGGUAGCCGGCCUGAGAGGGUGACCGGCCACAUUGGGACUGAGAUACGGCCCAGACUCCUACGGGAGGCAGCCGUGGGGAAUAUUGCACAAUGGGCGGAAGCCUGAUGCAGCAACGCCGCGUGCGGGAUGACGGCCUUCGGGUUGUAAACCGCUUUCGCCUGUGACGAAGCGUGAGUGACGGUAAUGGGUAAAGAAGCACCGGCUAACUACGUG